CAAAUAAUUACAUUAUCUUCCAUAUUCCUAGAUACCUUGUAACUGGAGAUUCCUUCAAAACGAUUGACUACAGUUAACGUGUAGGGCACUGCAAGGUUGGGUGACCAGGGCCAUCUGGGAAUGCCUCCUGGAGGAAUUCAGGUGUGUGAAGGCUACCUGUGUCCUGCAUAACUUCAUGAGGAUGGACACGAGAACAAGGAGGGGAUCUGCAGCUCGCCGCCAUGUGCCAGAGAAGUCUGCUGCUCUGCAGGAUGUUUCAAGGAUGAGGUCCAACAACGCAGCAAGAGGCAAUCUGUGUACAGGAGAUCUUCACCUCCUACUUCUUUGAAGAGGGUGCUGUUCCCUGGGAACACCAUAGACUACACUAUGCACAACCAAAGGCUCUUUUAAGAGCCAUUCACAUUGCAAUAAGAGUAUUUUUCCAUUUACUUAUGUCAACUGCAGUUAUUCAGUUCCCAGUUUCUCUCCCUUUGAUUUCUUCUUCUCAGGUGAGGAUGCUGUGAUGUCUGUACAAAAACAAAGAGACACCCUAUAACCCACACCCAUUUAUCAAUCUGAUUGGAUUGUGUUAUGCAGUAAGCAGGCUCAUGUGUAAUACUGUGGCUCCUUCCACCUUCAAAGAAUAGGCAAGAGGGCCAACCAUGGAGAAUAGUAAAACACUAAAUUAUUUCUAUAACUAUGCUAUAUUGUUUGUCCUCGUGUGUCUGUUUGUUUUGCAGCAUAAAGUACUCUGCAGCCAGCGUGGUGCGGACACCAGGUUAUAUCAGCUGUGUUGGUGAACCCCUUCCGCAACUGAACUGGCUAAAUAGAGGGCACAGCAUGAUCAGAGUUAUGUUUUGAUGUGAGAGAGGAUGCCAUUCCCCCGUCCCAUCAUCGCCAGCUCACCUGCUUUUAAGAUAAACUUCGGGCCGACUAGACGCUAUUAUGUAAUUGUGACGAACAGAGAAUAUUUGGGUAGCACUGGGAUUCAAUUCAAUAUGCUGCCUUUCCUGCUCCUAUAUUCUUAUACCUCUCACCUCCUUUCUUCCUCUGUUUUUAUAAAUGCACAAGAGAUGUGCAUUGAAGAACAGAUUGAACUUGUAUUUAUAAUACUACAAUUAUAAAUGCAUGCAUUUAUAACACUUGGAUAAUUUACUUCUUUCAAAACGUUUCACAUUCUCUACUGGUUGAAAUACUAAACAUAUCCUGUGUUAAUCAGAUCAAUGCAGAUGAAGGGCAUUAGAUAUUGCAAUUAACUGGUUUUAGAGUAUUUACAUGAUGCAUAGGAAGUGUAGUGUUCUGCUGUUUAAAUCAUAUAUGAAUUGUAAAUCAGCCAUUAACUAGUUAAAUCCUUUUUCUAGUCUAUUCAUUACAAUGUGUAUCCAUUGUCCCAGGACCAAGAUUAGUAAACACUGUUGAAGUGUAUACUGCAAUUGUAAUACAUGCAUGCAGACACAUCAUUCAAAGACUGGAAUUUGAUACUCCUGGUAUUGGAUAUGACUGAAAUAAUCUCAGACACUCAUACCUGAAAUGCACCUUUA
Non-coding RNA from Oncorhynchus mykiss (rainbow trout), 1520 nucleotides. Lineage: Eukaryota; Metazoa; Chordata; Actinopteri; Salmoniformes; Salmonidae. The record is from RefSeq and is a predicted model, not a curated record.